CCUACGGGUGGCUGCAGUGGGGGAUAUUGCUCAAUGGGGGAAACUCUGAUGCAGCGACGCAGCGUGAGUGAAGAAGUAUUUCGGUAUGUAAAGCUCCUUUAGCAGGGAAGUAAAAAGACGGUACCUGACUAAGAAGCCUCGGCUAACUACGUGACAGCAGCCGCGGUAAUACGUAGGGGGCAAGCGUUAUCCGGAUUUACUGGGUGUAAAGGGAGCGUAGACGGCAAUACAAGUCGGAAGUGAAAGACCCGGGCUCAACCUGGGAACUGCUUUUGAAACUGUAUGGCUAGAGUGCUGGAGAGGUAAGCGGAAUUCCUAGUGUAGCGGUGAAAUGCUUAGAUAUUAGGAAGAACACCAGUGGCGAAGGCGGCUUACUGGACAGUAACUGACGUUGAGGCUCGAAAGCGUGGGUAGCAAACAGGAUUAGAUACCCUUGUAGUC
This 441-nucleotide ribosomal RNA is filed under the name uncultured bacterium. RNAcentral's name for it is "partial 16S ribosomal RNA". It matches the Rfam family "Bacterial small subunit ribosomal RNA", at positions 338 to 795 of the family's 1533-position model. The record is from RNAcentral.